CCUACGUGAGGCAGCAGUGAGGAAUAUUGGUCAAUGGACGCAAGUCUGAACCAGCCAUGCCGCGUGCAGGAUGACGGCUCUAUGAGUUGUAAACUGCUUUUGUACGAGGGUAAAGCCCGAUACGUGUAUCGGUUUGCAUGUAUCGUACGAAUAAGGAUCGGCUAACUCCGUGCCAGCAGCCGCGGUAAUACGGAGGAUCCGAGCGUUAUCCGGAUUUAUUGGGUUUAAAGGGUGCGUAGGCGGUUUGAUAAGUUAGAGGUGAAAUGUCGGGGCUCAACCCCGAAACUGCCUCUAAUACUGUUGGACUAGAGAAUGGUUGCGGUAGGCGGAAUGUAUGGUGUAGCGGUGAAAUGCUUAGAGAUCAUACAGAACACCGAUUGCGAAGGCAGCUUGCCGAACUAUAUCUGACGUUGAGGCACGAAAGCGUGGGUAGCGAACAGGAUUAGAUACCCGAGUAGUC
This 460-nucleotide ribosomal RNA is filed under the name uncultured bacterium. RNAcentral's name for it is "partial 16S ribosomal RNA". It matches the Rfam family "Bacterial small subunit ribosomal RNA", at positions 338 to 795 of the family's 1533-position model. The record is from RNAcentral.